Molecule: ribosomal RNA, 497 nt
Filed under: uncultured bacterium
Lineage: Bacteria
Description: partial 16S ribosomal RNA
Rfam family: Bacterial small subunit ribosomal RNA
Source: RNAcentral
GAUGAACGCUGGCGGCGUGCCUAAUACAUGCAAGUCGAGCGGACGGACAAGAAGCUCGCGUCCUUGCUGUUAGCGGCUGACGGACGAGUAACACGUGCAUAACCUACUUAUAUGACUGGGAGAACUUCGGGAAACCGGAGCUACUACUGGAUCAUAUUUUGAACGGCAUGGUUCAAGAGAUCAUGACGCUUUUGCCGUCUGUUUUAGACGAAGCCGCGUUGCAUUAGCUAGUUGGUAAGGUACCGGCGUACCAAGGCUACGAUGCUUAGCCGACCUGAGAGGGUGAUCGGCCACACUGGAACUGAGACACGGUCCAGACUCCUACGGGAGGCAGCAGUAGGGAAUCUUGCACAAUGGGCGAAAGCCUGACCGAGCAACGCCGCGUGAGUGAUGAAGGUCUUCGGAUCGUAAAACUCUGUUAUUAGGGAAGAACAUAUGUGUAAUUAACUGUGGACAUUCUGACGGUACCUAAAGAAAAAGCAACGGCUAACUACGUG